This 115-nucleotide ribosomal RNA is filed under the name Lepisosteus oculatus (spotted gar). The record is from RNAcentral. Lineage: Eukaryota; Metazoa; Chordata; Actinopteri; Semionotiformes; Lepisosteidae.
UGCAGCAGCCAAAUCACUCUGCAGCUCACCACUGGCAGCCCACUGAAGCUCAGCAGGUGUGAGCCUGGUCAGUACCUGGAUGGGAGACCUCCUGGGAAAAAGGUUGCUGCUAGAA